This 495-nucleotide long non-coding RNA is filed under the name Callithrix jacchus (white-tufted-ear marmoset). RNAcentral's name for it is "lncRNA (ENSCJAG00000070236.1)". Lineage: Eukaryota; Metazoa; Chordata; Mammalia; Primates; Cebidae. The record is from RNAcentral.
AAAUGGUCAGAUAUAGAGAUACACAGAGGUGAGAGUCCAACCACCCACGGGAGUCUGGGCGGCUGCUGUGAGUGGGGAUGGAAACAUCAUCUCUGCAGGGGAGAGGGGGCUUCCUCCUCUCUGCCUGGAUGCUUGGAAACAUGGAAGAACUAUGAAGCCCUGUGAGACUCCAAUUGUCUGGAACAUCGGUGAACAGGAAGGCAGAAGAAAGAGAACAUGAUGAAGAAUCUGCUGGCUCAGACAGCAGUGCCGGGAAGUGUCACGUGCCACUUUCACUCACAUUUUAUGACUGAAGCAUGACUUGGCAGUAUGAAUUCAGGAAAUUGGUGAAGUACAAUUCUACUAAGGAAGGAUGCUGAAAAGAGCUGGAGAUGCUAAUCUGUAAAAUGAGAAACAGCGAAACUAAGCCUCCAUUAGAGUAUGUACAAAUUUGCAUCUUUAAAGCAGAAAUAAAAUCCUAGAAAUUUGUGCAUGCAUAUUGUCCCCCAACUACAC